This is a long non-coding RNA of Lagopus leucura (white-tailed ptarmigan), 7757 nucleotides long. RefSeq lists it as uncharacterized. NCBI's taxonomy places the organism in Eukaryota, Metazoa, Chordata, Aves, Galliformes, Phasianidae. The record is from RefSeq and is a predicted model, not a curated record. The transcript is spliced from 3 exons.
GCCUUCUGAUACUGCACAUUCCAAGUGUCGACUUUUCCGCUCAUCAAAAACAGAAGCCAGCUUUGCAGUCUCAGAGCUUCAGGCAGUACAGAUCUGCAAGCUGACCCAGAGCAGAGCAAGGAGAAAAAAGUACUGAAUGGGGUGAGAACUGCCGCGUUCAAAAUUACUGAGAUAUUUCAAUACUGAAUUGAAAUAUUUCCCAGGGACAGGGAAAAAAAUCAAAGUGGAGUUGUUCCUCCCAACUUUGACCUGGCAUUCAGCCAUUGCAUCUGUCCUAGGGGAUUUUCCUGUUCCUCUGACCAGAUCCUCAUCUUUCUCAAAGAGGUCUUCUGCCCCAGAAGAGAAAAGUGCUCUUCUACAGAUGUGGUGCUCAGGGACGUGAUUUAGUGGAGGGUUUUUAGUAAGGGAGAUGGGGUAGUAUAGUUAGGUCAUGGUUGGACUCGAUGAUCUUUAAGGUCUUUUCCAACCUGAGUGAUUCUGUGAUUCUGUUAUUCCUCUUGCCUUUGCCAUGGUUGCUUUCCUCUUGGCAUCCUCUGAGUGUCCAAGAAGAACAGCUAUGAGAGGGGUGGAGGGAAAGGAAUAUAAAGCCUGGCUGCACAUGGCAGCUGUGGACACUUCAGAGCCACCACCACUCACAUGGGUCUGAAAGGAAAGCUCUCAACGUGCUCUGCUUGCAGGGAUGUUCAAAAAGGGGCAGGUGAAAUAGUUUGGCAUGCGGUCACAUUGGCUUUUGAAGCCUUGGGCUUUGCUGGAGAACUCCCAGUGGACUUCAUAGAGUGGGUUUGCAGAAUGGACAGUGGGCACAGGCUGGAGGCCAAACAUUUUUAUUUUUCCUCUAUUUUUAUCCAGCUCUGAAGCCCCCUCCCAAGUCCUCGCACUGCUGCUUUGCGGGGUUUGUUUUGCCAGACUUUCACUGCUGCUAUUCUGGGGUAGAAAUGUGAUAAAAGGGAAGAGGGAGGAAAGGUUUAUUUUCCUUUUUUUUUUUUUCCUUAAAGCUAGAAAGGAGAAAAUGGAAAAUAGAAAAUAUGAAAAUGUCCCAAUUCUUUCAGAAUUACUCCUUGGUGAUAUCCACUCUCAAUUACAGAUUUUGUGCAUCAGCAAAAAAAAAAACUAAACUAAAAGCGUGUAGCUCCUGUAGCAAUGGAGGGGCUUGGUCCACUCUGCCUGGGUUGCUGACCUAGAUGCACAGGAAGAGUGUGGUCUGACUACAGCUGCUUUGAAAGACCCAUUGUUCCUUAACGGUGAUCAUUUAUGCUGACAUAGACAUUUUGUGUGUAUCUGUCAACAGGGGAGGGGGAAAUAUUGAAAUGGGUAAUAAAGGAGAUGAAAACAAUCCAUGCUGCUCUCUCGGUAAUAACCAGCUGACAUUAAGCUUAAGCCCAGCCGAUUACGGUUAAUAAUAAAUGAUCAUUAAUUAAAGCUAAAUUACAGGGGGAGGUGCAGGCUUGGCUCUUGAGCCAAUUAGAGCCCUGUAAUUCAUAAUGGACAGAAUCUAUCCAGACAGUGAAUAAAGGCUAGCAAAGUCAACAGCAAGGCUGUGUAAUGGUUAAAAUGCUGCACCGAUAGGGAAGAGGCCAAAAAAGGUUGAAUGGGCCAGACAUCUCGCUUGGUCUGUAUUAUGCCAGCAAGAUAUGCUGCAGUGUGAGUGUGCGUGUGUGUGUGUGCACGUAAGGGCCCAGUGCUGAGCACAGCCUGGCUCCAGAACACUUUGGGAUCAACCCCAAAAGGAGGUACGGACAAGAUGGAUGGAGGAUGGUCUGAUUAUUAAUUGGGUGGUCCCAUAUGGGACCAGGAGUUGGACUUGAUGAUCCUCAUGCAUCCCUUCCAACUUAUAGUAUUCAAUGGCUCUAUGAUUCUACGAUAUUCAUUCACUGUGAGCCCUUCAUGGUGCCAGCUUGAGGGCAAAGGUUCUAGGAAAGUUGGUUGGAUCUCCAGAAAGAGGGCAAGAGGCAACAAAGAGCAAGCAAGGUGUUGAUAGCUAUGUUCCAAUGCAUCCACUGCAUCUCAGAAGAAGUUGUGAACCUUACUGAUUUUUACUUUGGCAUUUACACAAAGGGAUAAGACAGGGUUACCUUGGGGAUGUCUUCCACCCAGACUCACCAUUCAGCUCCCAGUCACAGGCACACCGUCUGGAGUCCAGCACAAAGCCAGGAGAUGGAGCCAAGUCAAAAUAGUCUUGAGGGCUCAGGAAUCAUAACUGUGCAAAUGCGGUUUUAAUCAGAGCUGAAGGCUCACACUUACACUCCUCCACUCUCCCUGGUCCACUUGGGGUCCAUUGUGCAGCAAUGUCACCUCAGAGAGUUUGCACCACAGUGUUGUGCAGGACUCACGUUGUGCCUGAAGCAGAGGGAGAUGAUGACAGCUGCUUGCUUCGCUUUCAGAAGCCAAACUGAAGCUGGCACAAGCUUGGACCUGAUUCUGAUGUGUCAUGUGUGCGAGGACGGAGAGUCAGAGGAGACAUUCAUGCUCAUUGACGUGAUUGUUGGCAAGGGAGAGGCUGUUCACUGAGAGAUGAGAAUGUGAUCCAGAAAGGGGCUGCCAGUGGAGCAGAACGUGCCACCACCUCUGGCAGUAUCAGUGGUGCUGAUAAAGCAGGGAAGACAGGGUACAUUCAUUGGAAGUAUUAGGGAUAAGCAGGUGAGUUACAGAGGCACCCAGACAGCUGCAGAGUACGUGAAGCUAAAUAAUUCCCAUUGUAAUUCAGUCUUCUGCCAAAAGUCUGGGAACCAAAUCCACUGCUCAGACUCUGAGAAGGAGAUGGAAGCCCCUCUGCUUGCAUGAGUGGCACUCAGGGAACCUUGCUCACCCUCAGUUUGCUCAAAGUGCUGGAAUUGCUACCACUUCGUGUAACUCUGAUGGAUUUGGAGAGCAAUAGCAACUUCAAGCAAACCAAGAGCCCCAAGGUGUUUGCGCACAUCAGCACAGCGACAAUCAGGCGUGGAUCCUGGGGACAAAAUAUUCCUUGUUAAACUUCCUGGUGGUACAGAGAAGACUUAGAGUACCCGAAGGCCCCCAGACUGCCAACUAUGAGGAAAAAUAAAACAUUUUGAAAGCUUGGUGUGUUUAAGGCACACUCAGACCUUCAGAUGUGUCUGCCGAAUUAUCUUCAAAUAACGUGUAGCAUCAGUGAUGCUCUGAAAGCGUUGUUCUGGUCCAAAGAAAUUCCACCCGCCUGUUUUCUGCCUAUUUCUUCUGUGUCUUACCUGCACAGCAACUGAUCCAGAUGUGCUAGACUAAAUCAAACUGAAUGUUCCCAUUUAGGAAUAAAUACAGGUUCUGUUUCUAGUUUAAUACCGUGAAGAAAAAGCCUUCUUGCAUUUUGGUUCGACACUGCGAGCAUCCACGCAGGUAAUUCGGAAAGAUGCUCUAGUUCAGACUUGCAUGCUGUGUAAUUACCACCAGGUGCAGAGCAAUCGCUGUGGCACCAUGGUGUGAGCUGCAGGAUGGCUGACACAGCUGAGGUGUCGGGGCUUGCUGGCCCAGAUAAAUGCCAGCUCGUGCCAGCACUGGGUAUGGGGUGGUAGGAGGCAGGGAAGAGGAGCUGGCAAAGCUUGGUUUCCUUUGCACAGCUUUGUCAGAAGCAGGCAGUUACUGACUUAGGGCAAGAUUUCCUAAAUUGCACUGCUCGUGUUUUCUGGGCCAGCAUGUGCAUGUACUUGCGUGCAGAACAGCCAUGGAUGGAGGGUUCCAGGUCUACAACGCACAGCGUGCCAGUAGCUGUGGUUGUCUUAAGAAGAAGCAAGAGGGAACCUGAUCCUGCAGCCAGCCAAACAGCAGUGCAAUCAAAAAGAAUGAGCUGAGCCUGGAAAUAUUUUCAUCAUCAUUUUCCAAACAAAUCUGUUUUUGCAGAGACUUGAUUUUUCCCAUUUUUCUGGGCUCCGGAUCCGAGCGCACAGACAGCAAGAGCAAUUUUUGGGGUAUUCACAAUGGCCGAACCUACCCCACUGCUCCCACGUUGGAUCAGCAUCUUUGGCACCACUCCUGAUGGGAAUGCCUGAUGCAGCAUUGAAGGCCCUGUUCUGAUACAAAUUUCCUUCUAACUGUAGCUUCUAAAGACUUCUAUCCAAUAAUAAGGUAUUUCUUUCCCUUCCUCAUCUCCACAGGUUAUUCUGGAAAAUCAAUUCUCAAGAUGCUGUGGCAGGAAGAAUAAAAACAGCCAAACACAAUUACUUCCAAGCACCUACAGUGAAGAGACAAUGAAGCCCGUAGGAGGAAACAGAGGGAAUCCCUAUACAAAAGAAGGAAAUUUGGGAAGAAUGACUAAUCUAAGCGAGAAAAUUAGAUGCUGUGUUGUUAGCAAGACAAAAGUGUCUCAAAAUGUCAAGCUGAUGUCUCUGUCCUGUGCAGAGUGCCAGGACGUAACACUGCAGUACUGGAACUUACUGGUGGAGCAGGAGGUUGGGAUCUCACAAGGUUUUCAGGGACAGGCUCUGAGAAGCCCACCAUCUGAGCACUGAGCGGCGCGGGGUGACAUUUGAAAAUGCAUCUAAAAUGCUAGCUUGCAAACUGCUUAAAACUGAAUGCUGUCAAGCUGAUUUAGAAGGAUGACCCAAUUUGAUCUUCCAGUGCUGGAAGCUGUUGCUUUUGGCAAAAAGUGUGAUGACUGAGACAGAGCUGGCUGGCUUAGGCUCCUGAGCUCUGCUGUGGGUGUCUGUUGUGCAACAUGUGUGCAAGAAAUGCCUCUCAGAGACAACAAAGAGCACACACCAAGAAAAUAUGUUUCUAAUCCAUUUUGACCCUUUCCAUCCUGUGUUAUCAGAGCUGCUCUCCUUUCCCAGGGCUCUGCCCUCAGGAAUUCCUGGGGAAGGGAGAUGCAGGCAUUCUGCUUUGGCUGUAGCCAUUAGCUACUAAGAUUAUGCUGGGGUACAUUUUGACCUUUUAGUGAAUGUGGGCUCAUACUUUAGAGAUGCCUUGAAUACAGCACUCACAGGGUUUUGGAGAAGUGAGAGAAAAGAUAAGAGAAUAAGGAGGAGCUGAAUACCAGAUAAGGCCCAGAAAAUCCCUCAAUAUCAGUUUUACCUAGAAUAAAAGACCUGGCACCAUUGCUUGAGGUAUGGAUGAGGAGAGACUAAAAAUAAGCCACUGAGGUUUUUGUGACCCGUGUUUUUUUUCUUGUGAAAUGUGAAUUCCACAAAUUCUUAAGAACACCCCCCCUCCCCACAGCCUAUGUAUGACUUCACAGCUUUUAAAAGCAGGGCUUUGGAGGUUCAGUGUGUAUCACACUCCUGAUCACAGGCCCUGGAGGACUGGUGGAGGUACGGACACCUCCCCAUGGCCUUACACAGCACUGGUGACCCACUAUGCUGCUACCAGCUUUGUCACUGCCAGCUCCUUCCCUUAGCACUUUUCCCAUGCACACUGCUGGUCUGAAUCCAUUUCACCCAAAGCUUGCUGUGAUUGCCUCCGGGUUGAACUCAGUCGCUUCAACAGAGCCCUACAGCACAAGUCAACAGUCUCAGACCUGGUCACCCUGCCAUACGUUGUCCUGUGACACAUUCAAAGACCUCAGCAGCCCUGGGAUCCAUAAGGCAGGGCUGUUGCACAGUAUGUGAAAACUCAAGGCAGGUCCUGACAGGCUCUGUGGCUUCAAUUCAGUGAUGGAUGGAUGUGUGCCAUACCCCAUGGCAGGGGUUAUCUAGAGCAUUUAGGUUAUUCUUGGCAUCCGCUUUAUCUCAGUAUUCAGUGCCCGGCCCCUCUGGGAUCCCAGAUAGUGGAAAACUGGCAGAUAGUUUCACCCCCACAGCUUUGACACUUCAGUUUUUAGCCAUCCUUUUCUCUUGACCAAAUUGGCAUACCUUGGUUAAUUUCACCGUAUUCACCCUGAAGUGGUAUAAAAUGUUCACUUCUUUGGUCCCCUGGAUUAUCACAGCAAAGUGCUCACAGUGCUCAGGAUGUUUUGUUUAACCUCUUGCAAAAGCUCAGAGCGGCAUGUUUGUGAUACCCAUUCCUCUCUCUUCCAUUUCACACAUCCUAAAGCCAUUUCCCUUGCGGCUGUGCAAGGCUGGUAGGCUUAAGGAGGUGCGACUCUUCAGGCUUUUACAAGUAGAAGCCCUUGUGAGUAAGGUCAGCAGCCUCAAAGGGAGAUGUUAUCUCUUUUCAGACAGAAAGAGAUGCUUCCCAAAGGGAUGGAUGCCCCCUUCCCAACCAAAGGUCCUGCAGAUGCACAAAGGCUGUCCAGGUCCUCAUGGAUUUUGCCACCGUGGUUGGAAUUUUUGCUAUCUGCCUGGACUUACUCUUUCCAUCACACCCUUGUGAUGAAAAGAAGAUGGGCAGCACCUUCAGAGAGGCUGGUCUGCGAAGGAAGACAGAUGGGUUCCGUGCCAGAAGCUGCAGCAACAAUGGAAAGGGAUGGGGUUAACCUACCCUUGCCCCAUUCCUAGGCUGAGAUGCUCUGAGGCUGCUGUAAAUCUCACAAGAAAUGCAGCAAUCCCAUGGCUGGGCUGAGCCCCAGGAGACAGCCCCUCCUCUCCUUUCAUCUUCCUUGUGCUGAGGUUUGCAAAGAGAACGUCAGCAAGAUCUCCAUCUCUCUGAGACCACCAGAUGCAACCUCUUGGCCAUGUGCUGGAAACAGACCUGUGCAGCUGCACUGUGAAGGUCAUUUCUCCUGCAGUCACUAGCUACAGAGGCUGAAUGGGGAGCAACCAGUGCACGUGACAAGAAUGGUGUGAGGCACCAAGUACCAAAGUAUUCGGGGUGAAGACUGAGCAAAGCAAACCUAAGGAAGCAGGAACAGAGCCUCCUGAAGGGAUGGGACCAGCCCACUCGCUCAACGCACAAGUCAGGACUCGUAGGGACUCAAACCCUGCAAAAGAAGGGCCACGCUGCCCGGCUGCAGCGUUUGCUUUUCCAACGAAACGCUGCGAAAGGUACCGUGCUCAUCCGCUCGUGGCUGCAAGGGGAGAAUCAACUCCCUGAAACCCGAGGGCAUUUUUUCUUUGUCUGCUCGGUGGUUUCCUUGGCUGCUUUGGGGAGGGUUUUCUAACAGUAAAACCACUGCAGAAUCCUGCCCAACUGCGGCUUGAAAUUCAGCACGUUCGGCCCUGAGGGCUGCCUGGGCCUCCCCCAUUCUUUCAGUGGGAAGCGCGGGAAGCGGGGCCCCUGCCUUUGUCCUGCAGGGCGACGGUUCCAGGCUGGAGCGCUCCCACCCUGCUACCAAACCUCCACCUGCAGAAGGAAACCACGGGGCCUGCCCCUGCCCCGAGCACUCAGCCCUCCAGGAAACCAGGAACGAACCUGCUGGCAACUGGGGGCUCUCUGCUUUCAGUGGGUUUAAAUCUUGAUAAAAAAAUAACCUCCCUUCUGCCCCAUGCUUCCCACCCCCCUCUCCCAACUCUUUACAUUUUCCCGGCGCUGCCGAGUCCCUUUUCCUGCUGGAUUUUGCAACCUUCUGGCAGGACUGGGCAAGCUCUGCCCAUUGCACCGCGCAGUGCUGGCAGCCGCCCGUCCUGCCUUCUGCUGCCACAGACCCCCCGCCCCACCCGGCCCCCCGCCGCGCAGAGCAGCACGGGGACCAAUCCACGCGGUGGUGUACAAAGCUUUUGUUUUUUUUUUUUUCCUUUUUCAAAGUAAUCCGUAUUUUGGAUCACCCCGAUCGGAGCAGAUUAGCACCCUGGAGCAUGCCUUUGCCUGGGCACGAUAAAGACCUCCUGUGGCUUUGCUGCAGGAGAUGCCACAACCAAGCUUUAGAAAACAGGGGCUCCUGGACCCCGUGCCGCUUCCCCCCUCCCUCCUCCUUUUUCUUUUUUUUUUUUUUUUAA